Molecule: long non-coding RNA, 1102 nt
Filed under: Carassius auratus (goldfish)
Lineage: Eukaryota; Metazoa; Chordata; Actinopteri; Cypriniformes; Cyprinidae
Description: lncRNA (ENSCARG00000000973.1)
Source: RNAcentral
AGGCAUUCUGUGAUUAGAAGUACAUCUCCAGCACGUGCGUUCAGAUCUGGAUUGCCAGGUUUUCAAAACAAAUCUUGCCCACUUGCUUCUCAAAACUACUCCAAAACUAGCCCGAUCACGUUUCCAGGAGGUCAGCAUGGGCUAAGCUGCUGUCGAAUCACAACACAGGAACCGCUGGCACAAUCAGAACUUGUUACGUAUUUCUGAUGGAGGGUGUCACAGUCUUCUUUUUCUGUCACUGACUUUUGUGAGUGUUGUGUUUGUUUGGUGCCAUGUGCUUUUGUCCUGUCUCUUUUCUUACUCCGCCUAUCUUGUUACCUCAUCAUUGUUUUAGUUGCUACACCUGUGUUUCUCCCUUGCUCCCAGACUCAUUUACCCUCACUCUGCACACAUGUCUCUCAAUCACACACACAGCUGUUGCUCAUUGUCAUGGACUAUAUAUUCUCGUCUAACACACCACUCUGUCUGGCUGUAUAAAUUGUUACUUGUUACUCGUGUCUUGCGGUUGCUUUUGAUUCUAAUCUUGUCCUGGAUAUCUGUUCGGUUUUGUUUUUGUCUUGUUUGCUUUUUGUUUAAUUUAUAUAAAAGUAAUUGCUUCCCUGCAUUUGGACCUUCGCUGCAUUUGGUUUCUUCCUCGGCAUCUUUCGCCGCGCCGUGACAGAAUACAGCCAGCCAACAUGGGUCCAGCAGGGAGGUUUCUCGAUGUCCACCAGGGAGAUCGGGCCAUCAAGGAUUACGCCAGGGACUUUGUGGGGGUGGCUCAGUGGUAGGCUAUGGAGAGGACUUGCUGUAUGGUGUGCUUCUGGGGAGGCCUAGCCGAGCCGUUCAGGUCCCUAAUGACAUUCUGGCAACCCGGGGAGACCUUGGAGGACUAUAUCAACCUGGCUCUGCAGUUCGCUCUGGAUUGUUACCUUCGCACACGGAUUAUCAUCACCUCCCUCGGAUCUACCACCACCGUCAAUCCUACCAGCGCACUCAACUCCUACUCACCAGUCUGUGCUGCCAUCGAGGUUCCUGCAUCACUCUCCAACCUUCCAUCAUCACAUCUUUUACAAUAAACUCUGUUUACUUGCUUUUGCCUCCUGUCUCACUUACUAAGCGU